GACGAACGCUGGCGGUGUGCUUAAUACAUGCAAGUCGAACGGACCCUUCGGGGUUAGUGGCGGACGGCUGAGUAACACGUAGAUAACAUGCCCUUUACUGGGGGAUAACACCGGGAAACCGGUGCUAAUACCGCAUAAGCCUGAGGUUGAAAUACUUUUGGUUAAAGAUUUAUCGGUAAAGGAUUGGUCUGCGCCUGAUUAGCUUGUUGGUAGGGUAAAGGCCUACCAAGGCAAUGAUCAGUAGUUGGUCNGAGAGGAUGACCAGCCAGAGUGGGACUGAGACACGGCCCACACUUCUACGGAAGGCAGCAGUAGGGAAUUUUGCGCAAUGGGCGAAAGCCCGACGCAGCAACACCGCGUGAGGGAUGACGGCCU
RNAcentral lists this ribosomal RNA (375 nucleotides) under uncultured bacterium. Its description in RNAcentral is "bacterial SSU rRNA". It matches the Rfam family "Bacterial small subunit ribosomal RNA", at positions 28 to 417 of the family's 1533-position model. The record is from RNAcentral.